AUACGAAAGGUGCAAGCGUUGUUCGGAUUUACUGGGCGUAAAGAGAGUGUAGGUGGUUUAUUAAGUCGGAUGUGAAAUCCCGGGGCUCAACCUCGGAACUGCAUUCGAUACUGAUAGGCUAGAGUUUGGGAGGGGUAAGCGGAAUUCCGUGUGUAGCAGUGAAGUGCGUAGAUAUACGGAGGAACACCUGAGGCGAAGGCGGCUUACUGGACCAAUACUGACACUGAGACUCGAAAGCGUGGGUAGCAAACAGGAUUAGAUACCCUUGUAGUCC
This 274-nucleotide ribosomal RNA is filed under the name uncultured bacterium. RNAcentral describes it as "partial 16S ribosomal RNA". It matches the Rfam family "Bacterial small subunit ribosomal RNA", at positions 523 to 796 of the family's 1533-position model. The record is from RNAcentral.